Molecule: long non-coding RNA, 502 nt
Filed under: Phasianus colchicus (ring-necked pheasant)
Lineage: Eukaryota; Metazoa; Chordata; Aves; Galliformes; Phasianidae
Description: lncRNA (ENSPCLG00000017568.1)
Source: RNAcentral
CAUACACAUUUAUGGCCGCCCCAUAAACACUUAUGGCCACCCCAUACACAUUUAUGGUCUCCAUAACCAUUUAUGGCCACCCCAUACGCAUUUAUGGCUGCCCCAUGUACAUUUAUGGCCACCCCAUAACCAUUUAUGGCUGCCCCAUAACUAUCUAUGGCUGCCCCAUACACUCUUAUGGCCGCCCCAUAACCAUUUAUGGCCACCCCAUGUACAUUUAUGGCCACCCUAUGUAUAUUUUUGGCCACCCCAUAACCAUUUAUGGCCACCCCAUACACACUUAUGGCCACCCCAUGUACAUAUAUAGCCACCCCAUAACCAUUUAUGGCCACCCCAUAACCAUUUAUGGCCGCCCCAUGUACAUAUAUGGCCGCCCCAUAAGCAUUUAUGGCCGCCCCAUAGGUGAUCUGCUGCGAGGGCAACGCGGGUUUCUAUGAGGUCGGCUGUCUGUCCACCCCCCUCGAGGGUACGGACCCCCCCCCAAACCCCAAAACCCGGCCCU